GGGAAACAAGGAUAGGGCUGGGGAGACGAGCCACCCCAAGCCCUCCUUGGGCAAAUAGGCUCA
RNAcentral lists this non-coding RNA (63 nucleotides) under Marmota monax (woodchuck). It matches the Rfam family "Ma3 gene ribosomal frameshift signal". The record is from RNAcentral. Lineage: Eukaryota; Metazoa; Chordata; Mammalia; Rodentia; Sciuridae.